UACGUAGGCAGCGAGCGUUGUUCGGAGUUACUGGGCGUAAAGCGUGCGCAGGCGGCUUUGCAAGACAGAUGUGAAAUCCCCGGGCUCAACCUGGGAAUUGCAUUUGUGACUGCAAGGCUAGAGUACGGCAGAGGGGGAUGGAAUUCCGCGUGUAGCAGUGAAAUGCGUAGAUAUGCGGAGGAACACCGAUGGCGAAGGCAAUCCCCUGGGCCUGUACUGACGCUCAUGCACGAAAGCGUGGGGAGCAAACAGG
RNAcentral lists this ribosomal RNA (253 nucleotides) under uncultured bacterium. RNAcentral's name for it is "partial 16S ribosomal RNA". It matches the Rfam family "Bacterial small subunit ribosomal RNA", at positions 524 to 776 of the family's 1533-position model. The record is from RNAcentral.